This 228-nucleotide unclassified non-coding RNA is filed under the name Hevea brasiliensis (rubber tree). Lineage: Eukaryota; Viridiplantae; Streptophyta; Magnoliopsida; Malpighiales; Euphorbiaceae. The record is from RNAcentral.
UUAAGUCGAAGGAACUCCAAUGACCCGUAAAAUCUGGACUAGACCCACCAUUCCCUGAUUCUGCUUCUGCCUCUGGUGAUGAUGUUAUCCCAUGAGACUCCUUUACUGGUAUCAUCUUGUUGCUGUCUCCACCAUUAUGAUGGCCAGAUUUCCAAAGCCUCUUUGUUAAGUUUGAUACUUUCUUUGAUUUCUUUAUAAGUUCUGAAUAGACUUCACUGAUGUUGAUUG